Molecule: ribosomal RNA, 464 nt
Filed under: Vreelandella stevensii
Lineage: Bacteria; Pseudomonadati; Pseudomonadota; Gammaproteobacteria; Oceanospirillales; Halomonadaceae
Description: partial 16S ribosomal RNA
Rfam family: Bacterial small subunit ribosomal RNA
Source: RNAcentral
CCUACGGGUGGCUGCAGUGGGGAAUAUUGGACAAUGGGGCAACCCUGAUCCAGCCAUGCCGCGUGUGUGAAGAAGGCCCUCGGGUUGUAAAGCACUUUCAGUGAGGAAGAACGCCUGGUGGUUAAUACCCAUCAGGAAAGACAUCACUCACAGAAGAAGCACCGGCUAACUCCGUGCCAGCAGCCGCGGUAAUACGGAGGGUGCGAGCGUUAAUCGGAAUUACUGGGCGUAAAGCGCGCGUAGGUGGCUUGAUAAGCCGGUUGUGAAAGCCCCGGGCUCAACCUGGGAACGGCAUCCGGAACUGUCAAGCUAGAGUGCAGGAGAGGAAGGUAGAAUUCCCGGUGUAGCGGUGAAAUGCGUAGAGAUCGGGAGGAAUACCAGUGGCGAAGGCGGCCUUCUGGACUGACACUGACACUGAGGUGCGAAAGCGUGGGUAGCAAACAGGAUUAGAUACCCGUGUAGUC